UAGUCCACGCUGUAAACGAUGGAUACUAGGUGUAGGAGGUAUCGACCCCUUCUGUGCCGGAGUUAACACAAUAAGUAUCCCACCUGGGGAGUACGGCCGCAAGGUUGAAACUCAAAGGAAUUGACGGGGGCCCGCACAAGCAGUGGAGUAUGUGGUUUAAUUCGAAGCAACGCGAAGAACCUUACCAGAACUUGACAUGGUCUUGAUGUAGGUAGAAAUAUCUAUUCUCUUCGGAGCAAGGUACAC
RNAcentral lists this ribosomal RNA (246 nucleotides) under uncultured bacterium. RNAcentral's name for it is "partial 16S ribosomal RNA". It matches the Rfam family "Bacterial small subunit ribosomal RNA", at positions 791 to 1035 of the family's 1533-position model. The record is from RNAcentral.